GAGCGGCCGUAGCAAUACGGCAGCGGCAGACGGGAGAGUAACACGUGGGAACGCGCCCUUCGGUUCGGAAUAACUCAGGGAAACUUGGGCUAAUACCGGAUACGCCCUUACGGGGAAAGAUUUAUUGCCGAAGGAACGGCCCGCGUCCGAUUAGCUUGUUGGUGAGGUAACGGCUCACCAAGGCGACGAUCGGUAGCUGGUCUGAGAGGAUGACCAGCCUCACUGGGACUGAGACACGGCCCAGACUCCUACGGGAGGCAGCAGUGGGGAAUAUUGGACAAUGGGCGCAAGCCUGAUCCAGCCAUGCCGCGUGGGUGAUGAAGGCCUUAGGGUUGUAAAGCCCUUUCGGCGGGGAAGAUAAUGACGGUACCCGCAGAAGAAGCCCCGGCUAACUUCGUG
RNAcentral lists this ribosomal RNA (399 nucleotides) under uncultured bacterium. Its description in RNAcentral is "bacterial SSU rRNA". It matches the Rfam family "Bacterial small subunit ribosomal RNA", at positions 64 to 507 of the family's 1533-position model. The record is from RNAcentral.